This 73-nucleotide transfer RNA is filed under the name Canis lupus familiaris (dog). It matches the Rfam family "tRNA". From Rfam's summary of the family: Transfer RNA (tRNA) molecules are approximately 80 nucleotides in length. Their secondary structure includes four short double-helical elements and three loops (D, anti-codon, and T loops). The record is from Rfam by way of RNAcentral. Lineage: Eukaryota; Metazoa; Chordata; Mammalia; Carnivora; Canidae. RNAcentral also lists the same sequence under 1 other name.
ACCUAGUUGGCUCAGUCAGUACAGCAUGUGACUCUUGAUCUCAGGAUCGUGAGUUCAAGCCCUAUGUUGGGUG